UCUUCGCUGCUCCGGUGAACCGGAGCAGCCAACAACCAACGCCACCCCCUCUCCUUUUGUUUGUCACUGACACCACUAUUUAUGGCCCAAAACGGAAUUUUUUCUGCUUUAAAGUUUUGGAUCUGACCGGAAAACAUCCAUUAAAAUGGGUUGUUUGCUUGCAAAUGUCUACUGAUAUCCUCAUUCCGUCCUGGCUUUUCAAUUGAUUGUUGAUUGUGGGGAGCUAUCAAGACUUCUUUUUCGGGUUCAUUUUUUUUUAACGGGUACAUUUUUAAUGCACGUGUUACUGUAAUUGUUAGAUUAUAUAAUUUUUUGUUUAUACUUCCGAAACAAUUCAUGAGUCAAAAAGAAUUUUCAAUA
This is a long non-coding RNA of Lycium ferocissimum, 360 nucleotides long. RefSeq lists it as uncharacterized. The transcript has 2 exons. NCBI's taxonomy places the organism in Eukaryota, Viridiplantae, Streptophyta, Magnoliopsida, Solanales, Solanaceae. The record is from RefSeq and is a predicted model, not a curated record.